RNAcentral lists this ribosomal RNA (501 nucleotides) under uncultured bacterium. Its description in RNAcentral is "partial 16S ribosomal RNA". It matches the Rfam family "Bacterial small subunit ribosomal RNA", at positions 30 to 523 of the family's 1533-position model. The record is from RNAcentral.
AUUGAACGCUGGCGGCAGGCUUGACACAUGCAAGUCGAGCGGGGAAGGUUGCUUCGGUAACUAACCUAGCGGCGGACGGGUGAGUAAUGCUUAGGAAUCUGCCUAUUAGUGGGGGACAACAUUCCGAAAGGGAUGCUAAUACCGCAUACGUCCUACGGGAGAAAGCAGGGGAUCAUUUGACCUUGCGCUAAUAGAUGAGCCUAAGUCGGAUUAGCUAGUUGGUGGGGUAAAGGCCUACCAAGGCGACGAUCUGUAGCGGGUCUGAGAGGAUGAUCCGACACACUGGGACUGAGACACGGCCCAGACUCCUACGGGAGGCAGCAGUGGAGAAUAUUGGACAAUGGGGGGAACCCUGAUCCAGCCAUGCCGCGUGUGUGAAGAAGGCCUUUUGGUUGUAAAGCACUUUAAGCGAGGAGGAGGCUUACCUGGUUAAUACCUGGGAUAAGUGGACGUUACUCGCAGAAUAAGCACCGGCUAACUCUGUGCCAGCCGCCGCCGUAA